RNAcentral lists this ribosomal RNA (397 nucleotides) under uncultured bacterium. RNAcentral describes it as "partial 16S ribosomal RNA". It matches the Rfam family "Bacterial small subunit ribosomal RNA", at positions 523 to 918 of the family's 1533-position model. The record is from RNAcentral.
AUACGUAGGUGGCAAGCGUUGUCCGGAAUGAUUGGGCGUAAAGGGCGUGUAGGCGGUUGUCUAAGUCUGGAGUGAAAGUCCUGCUUUCAAGGUGGGAAUAGCUUUGGAUACUGGAUGACUUGAGUGCGGAAGAGGUAAGUGGAAUUCCCAGUGUAGCGGUGAAAUGCGUAGAGAUUGGGAGGAACACCAGUGGCGAAGGCGACUUACUGGGCCGUAACUGACGCUGAGGCGCGAAAGCGUGGGGAGCGAACAGGAUUAGAUACCCUGGUAGUCCACGCGGUAAACGAUGAAUGCUAGGUGUUGCGGGUAUCGACCCCUGCAGUGCCGGAGUAAACACAAUAAGCAUUCCGCCUGGGGAGUACGGCCGCAAGGUUGAAACUCAAAUGAAUUGACGGGG